This 599-nucleotide long non-coding RNA is filed under the name Homo sapiens (human). Its description in RNAcentral is "non-protein coding lnc-DPP4-2:4". Lineage: Eukaryota; Metazoa; Chordata; Mammalia; Primates; Hominidae. The record is from RNAcentral.
GCCCUGGUCGCUCGCGCCCCGCCGACGCCUCCUUUUUCUCUCCCUACCUCUGCGCUCUGCGGCCGCCGCUGAGAUCUGGGACGGCGGCACAUCCAGCCCGGGAGACGACUGGCUAGGAAAUAGAACUGUACAACUAAUUUGACAGGCAGUAUGAUAAGGAACAAUCUGAAUGACACGUAAACAGGAGGGGGUAAAUUCCAAGCACAGCCUGAAUGAGAAGUACAACUCAUUUCCUGUAACCUAGAUGCCUUUUUAACACAUCUAUGCAGUCUCCAUGUGAAACCAGGUGCUGUUCCCAAAGGAGAAAACACUGCCCUCCAGUGGUCUUCAAUGAAGAAAUGGAAAUAGUUUCAGGUGGAAACCAGGCUUCUUGGAAGACUUCAAACUAUGCCAAAUGGUCUGAUUUCACCAUAGAGAUUCUUUGCUGAAGAAUGCAGCUGUAUUAAAGGAAGAAAGAAAACCAAGCUACAGCUCCUUAUAAUUCAACAAGCAUUUAAAAGAUUUAUAAAGAUGGUGCAAUUAUGUAUUUAAGCUGCUUCAACACAAGUUCUUGCCUUUCACUCCCACCCUGUGGCUUACACUGGUAUUACAUCUAUUCU